CGUAGGGGGCAAGCGUUGUCCGGAUUUAUUGGGCGUAAAGAGCGUGUAGGCGGCCAGACAGGUCCGUUGUGAAAACUCGAGGCUCAACCUCGAGACGUCGACGGAAACCGUCUGGCUAGAGUCCGGAAGAGGAGUGUGGAAUUCCUGGUGUAGCGGUGAAAUGCGCAGAUAUCAGGAAGAACACCUAUGGCGAAGGCAGCACUCUGGGACGGUACUGACGCUGAGACGCGAAAGCGUGGGGAGCGAACAGGAUUAGAUACCCUGGUAGUCCACGCCGUAAACGAUGGAUGCUAGGUGUGGGCGGUGUCGACUCCGUCCGUGCCGAAGCUAACGCAUUAAGCAUCCCGCCUGGGGAGUACGGCCGCAAGGCUA
Molecule: ribosomal RNA, 372 nt
Filed under: uncultured organism
Description: bacterial SSU rRNA
Rfam family: Bacterial small subunit ribosomal RNA
Source: RNAcentral